AACUGUAUGUGCUGGCGUUCAGUUAAAAUCCUCUUAAAUUCAUUUGCAUUUAUAAAAAUUUAUGAAAGAGCCAUUUAUAAAAGAGCUUCCUGCAGCAGUUAUGUAUAGAUUGGUAUAGAUAUAAAUGUAUAAAGUAUGCAUUUACAAAGUUGUCUGUAAACAAAGUGUGAUAAUAUUUACCGUGUAUUAGAGUCUAUAUAACGACGGAAAUAAAGAAUAAUAAGGAAAAGUGAUUUAUACUUUGUGUUUAUUACAAAUUUUUGAAGUCAUAGAGAACAUACAGAAUUAGCAUUUAAUUUUGGAACAUUAUUUCAAAUGCCUGAUUACUCAGCCAAGGAAUACAGAAACAAGUCAGAGUGAUAAGAAAAUGUAUUAUCUUCCAAACGAUCUUAAACGAAGAGAGUAAUUGUGAAUUAACUGCGUAACUCUUGGUGGAAAAUAGAAUGUAAUUGAAUAUAAAUCCAAUUUUUUAAUAUAUUAUGUUUAACAAGGUCACAAUUGUACACACAGGUCUGUUAACUGCUGUAAAGGAGAUGAGGUUCUUAAUGUCGCAAGAUGUACUUUACAAAUCAGCCAUCAUUGAACACUGCGAUCAGGUAGCUAGGAUUUUGUGUUUGGCGCCAUUCUUCAGUGAAAGCACUAAAGAUGUCAGCAGUAUAUGCACUACUGCAAACAGGCAGUACAUUGAAAUUAUAGAAGCAGCAUGGGCAACUACUACUUAUGAACCAAAUAACAGGCAAACAAAAAUAAUUCCACAAGACAUUCUUGACAAAAUCAGAGAAAAAAGGAAAGGGAAAGCAAAAUGGCAAAAACAUAGAAUACGUGAAAGCAAAAAAACAUCUAAACAAACUUCUAAAGGAAAUAGAAAGUAAAAUAAAAGAUCAUAAUAAUAACGAAUUCUCAAAAUUCAUAGAUUCACUCUGUGCGUACGAGAAUGCCAACUAUGUUCUAUGGAAAGCCAUGAACAAAAUAAAGAAGCUAAUAAAACUAAUCCCAGUAAUCAGAAAAACAGACAACACAUGAGCCAGAAGCAAUGGAAAGAAGGCUGAAGAAUUUUGCAACCAUCUUUGUUGAAGUUAUCUGUUCGAGGAACGUGUGAUGAAUGUGUAACAGAAAUAUAUUUGAGUCGUUGCAUUACAACAGAGCUUCGAAGCCAUGUGUCUAACUAUAAUACUAGUCUAUAUACUUACUAUUACUUACUAUUAUAUAUAGUAUUAUAUAGUUCUUCUUCAAACUUACUAUUACUUACUAUUGGUGGCCCGUCUAUAUAUAUCUGGUUGCACUAUCUGUGUGCAUGGCAUAUUCUUAAAAAGGCUAUGAGACUGGAAGGCCCUUCAAAUUUAUUUAGAGCUAAACAAUACUCAAUGGCUUUGAGGACUAAGAAAACUAAACACUAAAGAAGAUGUAGAGUUUUCCUAGAAUCAAGAAUUACGAGCUGGAUCUUUCACGCCAAUAGAAAACUGCAGUCCACGAAAUAGGCUUAGAAAUCUGUUAUAAUUAUUUUAGUUUACUUUAAAACAAAUUUUUUGUAUUCGUUAAAUAUAUAUAAAACCAUAUGCCAAAA
RNA transcript from Bombus terrestris (buff-tailed bumblebee), 1564 nucleotides. RefSeq lists it as uncharacterized. Lineage: Eukaryota; Metazoa; Arthropoda; Insecta; Hymenoptera; Apidae. The transcript is spliced from 6 exons. The record is from RefSeq and is a predicted model, not a curated record.